This 2258-nucleotide long non-coding RNA is filed under the name Triticum aestivum (bread wheat). RNAcentral's name for it is "long non-coding RNA (TAES_LNC004871)". The record is from RNAcentral. Lineage: Eukaryota; Viridiplantae; Streptophyta; Magnoliopsida; Poales; Poaceae.
UCCAGAUCCAGAAGGUUUAUUCUUCAGUGGCACCCUCUUCCCCUUUCUCGUUCAUUGUCAUGCACAAAGCAUGCGUUGUGUGGAGCAUGCAUUUUUGGUGAAAUAAUGAUCUCACAUGAAGUCACUUGAUACUGGACCAAACAUGGUUAAUUUUUUUAGAGCAAAAACUGUUUUAUAAUCAUAAUUUAUCUUGCUAUUGUUUGGUUAGGAUUUAUUUGGAGUGUUUAUCCACCUAUUUUUGAGUCCUCUUGGUUUGAUACACAGAUUUGAUUCAAUCAUGAACAAUGAUUUGCAAGCAAACCCUCUUCUGCCCAAAAUCACAAUGGUUGGCAUUUCAAUGAGCGAAGGGGGACAUAUGAGCAAAGCCAACCUAAUGAAAAUAAGGUAAUAUGGCAUUUAAUGAUUGGGACACUAGACCAGUUGAGACAUUACAAUUAUUUGACUGAUUUUAGAUUUACAACGCUCUUUAAGAUUAAUUGUUGCCACUUGGAUAUUCCAUUUUGGACUGCACUUGCACUUGGUCAGCACGAUUCUACAAAUGAGUAGUCCCUUUCUAUCUUGGUUUUGACUACUAGGAACCUUUUUUGAAAUGUGUAUGGUUGUCCCAGAUCUUGAGGGAAACGAGGGUCACACGGUCAAGAGGACCACGAGGUCGCCGGCGGAUGACGCACUCGCCGCUCCACCCAACACUGCCGUGCGCUGCCACUGUUCAUCUUCGCCACGGGUCAGGGUCCUGACGCUGGCACCAGCGGCCCAACGUAGGUUUCAUGGUGGAAGAUUCUCUUUUCCACGAAGCUCCACACCACGCAUGGCAGUUGUACAGACCUAGCAUCAUCGUUUUUUAGACGCAUUUGCACAAAGACGUCGUCGGACCUGUUUUUCUAUAAACGCGGAUUUUGGGUGUUACAAGAACCAAGUUUUGCUUAUCCACAGAUUAGUUAGAUUAGCCAAACAAAGUUUUAGUUUGUUAGACCCUGAAACACAUUUUUAGCUAACUCGUUUCCUAAAACUAGCUAUCCAAACAACCCCUAAGGUGCGUUGAAGAUUACUUCUACCAGGUCUUUUCAGACUCUACUUUACUGUUUUUCUCCAAGGCUUUCUAUCAAAUUAAAUGAUAGAUUAGGAUUUUGUUCCUUCAUUUAAUAUUUUUUGUAUAAUAUAUAUUUGUUUACUUUAACCGCAGAAGUCUUGUUAUGAUCUGCCUCGGUCAAUGCUAUUUAAAGAUAAUGGAGUCGGUGUUGGACAACCGGAGAAUGGUGUCGUUGUCGAGCUGCUACAGAAUUGUUGUCGUGGUGCCAUCGACCCUCCCACGUUAGCUGUGAGCGGGAGGGCGCAAUGUGUGGCCUCGAACUGCGAGGCUAAGGCGAUGCCCCUGUCGCCAUACUAUUUCAAUCACAUCCUCUUGGGCCCAAAGAAGCUUCUCUAUCAGCCAUGUGCCUUCCCCUCUGCAUGAUCAGUUUUUCGUAUUGAUUUGGGUAAUAUACAUAGUAGUGCUAAUUUGCUUGUUCUUUUGAGGUUGUUUUGACUGAAAAUACUAUUUUUUGAUCUUUCAGUUCUUGGCUUUAAAAAUCAUGGAGAUGGUGUAGCCCGAUUGAACGGCUGCGGGGCGACCGACUGAAUCUGGCAUCAGUCGUCAGAUGCCUAGCAUCACCCUUUUGGGAUCCCUUGGCAUGUCAUGCUUCCUUUCUUCACGCCAUAUUCAGUUUAUAUGGAACUAAUCUCAUAAUUCAUAUGCGUCUAAGUUAGCCGCAUAUUCAUGUUGACUAAUGAAGAUAUUAUUGCAUGCCUAUGACUACGAAUAAGGAGUGAAUCAGGUAAUAUAAUCAUAAGGUAUGCAGGUCUUUCUCACAUUUUUCCCGUGGCAACGCAUGGGCAUUCUACUAUCUAAUUAACUAAUGGGCUGUGUUGUUUACGCAUUAUAGGAUGACAACAUCAGUCUUACUGGCAAGGGGUAAGGAGUCCGAAGGGGUGCUGUACAGAUCGUAGCUCGAGCUGGAAGUGAGUGCCUUCUCUGUGGUUUUCAUGUUUGUAUUGUGAUGCUAUUCGCAAUUGAAACAAUUCUGCUUUCACUUGUUAUUCUCCAGAGUUGGUCUUCCUCUGAAUAGACCGCUUAUGUUUCACAUCUACACAAGCAAUUUCGUUGACUUUAUACAUGUACGUGUAACUCCUGUAAGAAUGGGAUUCACAAGUCGGAAAUUUCCAAAGGCAACUCCAGGAAGAGAUCAACAUGCAUAUGGCGUUGACAAGUUUCUGCUUAU